Molecule: ribosomal RNA, 448 nt
Filed under: uncultured bacterium
Lineage: Bacteria
Description: bacterial SSU rRNA
Rfam family: Bacterial small subunit ribosomal RNA
Source: RNAcentral
AGAGUUUGAUCCUGGCUCAGGAUGAACGCUGGCGGCGUGUUUAAGGCAUGCAAGUCGAGCGGUCGCCGCAAGGCGACAGCGGCAAACGGGUGAGUAACACAUUGGUAACCUGCCUCAAAGUGGGGGACAACCUUUCGAAAGAAAGGCUAAUCCCGCAUGUGGUCCUUCGACGCGAGUCGAAGGAAGAAAGGUUCGCAAGAAUCGCUUUGAGAGGGGCCUAUGGUCUAUCAGCUUGUUGGCGGGGUAACGGCCCACCAAGGCUGCGACGGAUAGCGGGCGUGAGAGCGCGACCCGCCUCACUGGGACUGAGACACUGCCCAGACUCCUACGGGAGGCUGCAGUUAAGAAUCUUUCACAAUGCCCGAAAGGGUGAUGGAGCGACGCCGCGUGAGUGAAGAAGCCCUUCGGGGCGUAAAACUCUUUAUCAGGGACGAACAAAUGACGUACC